This is a non-coding RNA of Oryza sativa Japonica Group (Japanese rice), 1257 nucleotides long. NCBI's taxonomy places the organism in Eukaryota, Viridiplantae, Streptophyta, Magnoliopsida, Poales, Poaceae. The record is from RefSeq and is a predicted model, not a curated record.
CAGAUCAAACUGUUUUUCCGAAAAGAUCGCGAGGCAAAAGACCAACCGCCUGUGCUAUGAGUGAGGAACUGAAGCGCGACUUCGAGAUCGGCGAGGAGAUUGGGCGCGGCCGCUUCGGCGUCGUCCACCGCUGCGCCUCCCGCUCCACCGGCGAGGCCUACGCCGUCAAGUCGGUCGACCGCUCCCGCCUCUCCGACGACCUGGACCGCUCGCUCGCCGCGCUCGAGCCCAAGCUGGCCCGGCUCGCCGCCGCGGGCAACCCGGGCGUCGUGCAGGUGCACGCCGUCUACGAGGACGACGACUGGACGCACACGGUCAUGGACCUCUGCACGAGGCCCGACAUCCUCGACUGGGUCCGCCUCCGCUGCGGCAAGCCCGUGCCGGAGCCCGACGCCACCGCCGUCGUCGCGCAGAUCGCCGAGGCCCUCGCGCUCUGCCACCGCCGCGGCGUCGCGCACCGCGACGUCAAGCCCGACAACGUCCUCCUCGACGCCACCGGGGACGGGCCGCCACGGGUGCGCCUCGCCGACUUCGGCUCCGCCGCGUGGGUCGGCGACGGGAUCAGCGCCGAAGGGGCUCGUGGGGACAGCCGCACUACGUCGCGCCCGAGGUGGUCGCCGGGGGCGAGUACGGGGAGAAGGCCGACGUGUGGAGCGCGGGGGUGGUCAUGUACGUGCUCCUCACCGGCGGCGCGCUCCCGUUCGGCGGCGAGACGGCCUCCGACGUGUUCGCCGCCGUCCUGCGGGGCAACCUGAGGUUCCCGCCGAGGCUGUUCUCCGGCGUGUCGCCGGCUGCCAAGGACCUGAUGCGGCGGAUGAUGUGCCGCGACGUCUACAGGAGGUUCUCCGCCGAGCAAGUCCUGAGGCACCCGUGGAUCGUGAGCGGAGGAGGAGCACGCGAUGUGCAGCCGACCUGAAGAAUCCGUAUCAGAUUUCCAAAUAAUACGGCUUCUUGUGUAUACGCCUUUGUAAAUGCGAGUACGCCUACGAGAGAGGAAGAUGCAUUGGUAGAAGAAGUAGAGAGUGGAGAGUAGUAACACUGUAUACAUCCAACCAGGAGUGGUGAGGAGGAGGAGGUCGCUAGCCUCUGUGUUUUUUUCGCUCUUUCUUAAGCCCUUUUUAGUUGCCGCUUUUUGCCUGAGAGAAGAACGCUUGCUUGUGUAAUGGGAGUGCUGCUGUGAAUACUAACCCUGCUUGUAUAAUUAAGAUCGUUAAUAAAAAUGAGAGUGGUCUCUCCAAUCUUUUGAUGGGUUUUUUA